This 430-nucleotide ribosomal RNA is filed under the name Pseudomonadota bacterium. Its description in RNAcentral is "Proteobacteria bacterium partial 16S ribosomal RNA". It matches the Rfam family "Bacterial small subunit ribosomal RNA", at positions 355 to 776 of the family's 1533-position model. Lineage: Bacteria; Pseudomonadati; Pseudomonadota. The record is from RNAcentral.
UGGGGAAUAUUGGACAAUGGGGGGAACCCUGAUCCAGCCAUGCCGCGUGUGUGAAGAAGGCCUUAUGGUUGUAAAGCACUUUAAGCGAGGAGGAGGGUACUGGUAUUAAUACUACCAGGUACUGGACGUUACUCGCAGAAUAAGCACCGGCUAACUCUGUGCCAGCAGCCGCGGUAAUACAGGGGGUGCAAGCGUUAAUCGGAAUUACUAGGCGUAAAGCGCGCGUAGGUGGUUCGUUAAGUUGAAUGUGAAGGACCCGGGCUCAACCUGCGAACUGCAUCCAAAACUGGCGAGCUAGAGUAUGGCAGAGGGUGGUGGAAUUUCCUGUGUAGCGGUGAAAUGCGUAGAUAUAGGAAGGAACACCAGUGGCGAAGGAGACCACCUGGGCUCAUACUGACACUGAGGUGCGAAAGCGUGGGGAGCAAACAGG